This 834-nucleotide ribosomal RNA is filed under the name Karaftohelix gainesi. Its description in RNAcentral is "partial 16S ribosomal RNA". Lineage: Eukaryota; Metazoa; Mollusca; Gastropoda; Stylommatophora; Camaenidae. The record is from RNAcentral.
UCACGAAAUGGUUUGAGCUAAUUAUAUAUAGUUUAUAGAUUAUACGCAGUGUGUGGCAUAAUACUGGAAAAAGAUAUAAUUAGGUGUGAUAGGCUUUUCAAAGACCAGGAUAUCUUGAUGGCGCCUAAACGUAUUAAGUACGUUAAACAAAUAUAAAGUGUUUAGGCUUUAUAUAACUUCAAAAUAGAUUUCGGGAUUUUAAGGUUUAAUCAUCUUUAAAUAGAGGAUUCCAGUAUUAAUUUUCCUCCAAUUGAGGUUUAAACGCGCUUCUAUAUGAAUUAAGGUGAAUAGUAAUAAUGUUACCAUUAGUAUUAAUUGAGGCGUUUAAAAUGAACUCGGCAAAAAAUAUUCUCGACUGUUUACCAAAAACAUAGCUGUAUGUGAUUUAUAUAUAGUGAUUUCUGCUCAAUGUAAUAUAAAUAGCCGCAGUACUCUGACUGUGCAAAGGUAGCAUAAUCAAUUGGCUUAUAAUUGAAGUCUAGUAUGAAAGAAAAUACGGGGAUAGACUAUAUAAUAGACGUUUUUAAAAAUUACUUAAUAAGUGAAAAGACUUACGUUUAAAUAAUAGACGAGAAGACCCUAGAAAUUUUGAGAACGGUAUAUGUAUAGGUUUUUGUUGGGGCGACACAGUAGCAUCAUAACCUACUAAGAUGGAUAUAAUUAAUAUAUUAGGAAUAAUUAAAUUACUCUAGGGAUAACAGCAUAAUAUUCAAAAGUUUGUGACCUCGAUGUUGGACUAGGAUACUACCACCCAGAAGGUUACUAGCUAGGCUCUGUUCGAGCAAUUGUCCUACAUGAUCUGAGUUCAGACCGGCGUAAGCCAGGUCAGUUUCU